GGGUUGUGAGGUUAAGCGAAUAAGCGUACACGGUGGAUGCCUAGGCAAUCAGAGGCGAUGAAGGACGUGCUAAUCUGCGAUAAGCGUCGGUAAGGUGAUAUGAACCGUUAUACCCGACGAUUUCCGAAUGGGGAAACCCAAUAUCCAAUGGAUAUUAUCAUGACGUGAAUACAUAGCGUCAUGAAGCGAACCGGGAGAACUGAAACAUCUCAGUACCCCGAGGAAAAGAAAUCAACCGAGAUUCCCCUAGUAGCGGCGAGCGAACGGGGAACAGCCCAGAGUCUUAAUCAAUAGCAGCAUCAGGAGAACGGUCUGGAAAGUCCGGCAGUAAAGGGUGAUAGCCCCGUAUCCGAAGAUGCUGUUAUUGUGAACUCGACGAGUAGGGCGGGACACGUGUUAUCCUGUCUGAACAUGGGGGGACCAUCCUCCAAGGCUAAAUACUCCUGAUUGACCGAUAGUGAACCAGUACCGUGAGGGAAAGGCGAAAAGAACCCCGGCGAGGGGAGUGAAAAAGAACCUGAAACCGUGUACGUACAAGCAGUAGGAGCCUCUUUAUGGGGUGACUGCGUACCUUUUGUAUAAUGGGUCAGCGACUUAUAUUCUGUAGCAAGGUUAACCGUAUAGGGGAGCCGUAGGGAAACCGAGUCUUAACUGGGCGAAUGAGUUGCAGGGUAUAGACCCGAAACCCGGUGAUCUAUCCAUGGGCAGGUUGAAGGUUGGGUAACACUAACUGGAGGACCGAACCGACUAAUGUUGAAAAAUUAGCGGAUGACUUGUGGAUGGGGGUGAAAGGCCAAUCAAACCGGGAGAUAGCUGGUUCUCCCCGAAAGCUAUUUAGGUAGCGCCUCGUGAACUCAUCUUCGGGGGUAGAGCACUGUUUCGACUAGGGGGUCAUCCCGACUUACCAACUCGAUGCAAACUGCGAAUACCGAAGAAUGUUAUCACGGGAGACACACGGCGGGUGCUAACGUCCGUCGUGAAGAGGGAAACAACCCAGACCGCCAGCUAAGGUCCCAAAGUCAUGGUUAAGUGGGAAACGAAGUGGGAAGGCUCAGACAGCCAGGAUGUUGGCUUAGAAGCAGCCAUCAUUUAAAGAAAGCGUAAUAGCUCACUGGUCGAGUCGGCCCGCGCGGAAGAUGUAACGGGGCUAAACCAUGCACCGAAGCUGCGGCAGCGACACUAUGUGUUGUUGGGUAGGGGAGCGUUCUGUAAGCCUGCGAAGGUGUACUGUGAGGUAUGCUGGAGGUAUCAGAAGUGCGAAUGCUGACAUAAGUAACGAUAAUGCGGGUGAAAAACCCGCACGCCGGAAGACCAAGGGUUCCUGUCCAACGUUAAUCGGGGCAGGGUGAGUCGACCCCUAAGGCGAGGCUGAAAAGCGUAGUCGAUGGGAAACGGGUUAAUAUUCCCGUACUGGUGGUAACUGCGAUGGGGGAACGGAGAAGGCUAGGUUGUCCGGGCGACGGUCGUCCCGGUUCAAGCAUGUAGGCAGAGUGAUUAGGCAAAUCCGGUCACUUAAUGCUGAGGUGUGAUGACGAGCCACUAAGGUGGUGAAGCAAUUGAUGCCCUGCUUCCAGGAAAAGCCUCUAAGCUUCAGGUUACCAACAAUCGUACCCCAAACCGACACAGGUGGUCAGGUAGAGAAUACUCAGGCGCUUGAGAGAACUCGGGUGAAGGAACUAGGCAAAAUGGUGCCGUAACUUCGGGAGAAGGCACGCUGGCGGUAAGUGAAGUCCCUUGCGGACGGAGCCGAAGCCAGUCGAAGAUACCAGCUGGCUGCAACUGUUUAUUAAAAACACAGCACUGUGCAAACACGAAAGUGGACGUAUACGGUGUGACGCCUGCCCGGUGCUGGAAGGUUAAUUGAUGGGGUUAUCCGUAAGGAGAAGCUCUUGAUCGAAGCCCCAGUAAACGGCGGCCGUAACUAUAACGGUCCUAAGGUAGCGAAAUUCCUUGUCGGGUAAGUUCCGACCUGCACGAAUGGCGUAAUGAUGGCCAGGCUGUCUCCACCCGAGACUCAGUGAAAUUGAACUCGCUGUGAAGAUGCAGUGUACCCGCGGCAAGACGGAAAGACCCCGUGAACCUUUACUAUAGCUUGACACUGAACAUUGAGCCUUGAUGUGUAGGAUAGGUGGGAGACUAUGAAGUGUGGACGCCAGUCUGCAUGGAGUCAACCUUGAAAUACCACCCUUUAACGUUUGAUGUUCUAACCUAGGUCCAUAAUCUGGAUCGGGGACCGUGUCUGGUGGGUAGUUUGACUGGGGCGGUCUCCUCCUAAAGAGUAACGGAGGAGCACGAAGGUUGGCUAAGCAUGGUCGGACAUCAUGCGGUUAGUGCAAAGGCAUAAGCCAGCUUGACUGUGAGAGUGACGGCUCGAGCAGGUACGAAAGUAGGUCUUAGUGAUCCGGUGGUUCUGAAUGGAAGGGCCAUCGCUCAACGGAUAAAAGGUACUCCGGGGAUAACAGGCUGAUACCGCCCAAGAGUUCAUAUCGACGGCGGUGUUUGGCACCUCGAUGUCGGCUCAUCACAUCCUGGGGCUGAAGUAGGUCCCAAGGGUAUGGCUGUUCGCCAUUUAAAGUGGUACGCGAGCUGGGUUUAGAACGUCGUGAGACAGUUCGGUCCCUAUCUGCCGUGGGCGUUGGAAGAUUGAGAGGGGUUGCUCCUAGUACGAGAGGACCGGAGUGAACGCACCACUGGUGUUCGGGUUGUCAUGCCAAUGGCAUUGCCCGGUAGCUAAGUGCGGAAGAGAUAACCGCUGAAAGCAUCUAAGCGGGAAACUUGCCUCGAGAUGAGUCUUCCCUGUCACCUUGAGUGACCUAAAGGAACGUUUAAGACUAAGACGUUGAUAGGCUGGGUGUGUAAGCGUAGCGAUACGUUGAGCUAACCAGUACUAAUGAACCGUGAGGCUUAACCUGACAACACCGAAGGUGUUU
RNAcentral lists this ribosomal RNA (2930 nucleotides) under Proteus vulgaris. Its description in RNAcentral is "23S ribosomal RNA". It matches the Rfam family "Bacterial large subunit ribosomal RNA". Lineage: Bacteria; Pseudomonadati; Pseudomonadota; Gammaproteobacteria; Enterobacterales; Morganellaceae. The record is from RNAcentral. RNAcentral also lists the same sequence under 1 other name.